CAUGCAAGUCGAGGGGCAGCGGGAUUGAAGCUUGCUUCAAUUGGCGGCGACCGGCGCACGGGUGAGUAACGCGUAUCCAACCUUCCGUACACUCAGGGAUAGCCUUUCGAAAGAAAGAUUAAUACCUGAUGGUAUGAUGAGAUUGCAUGAUAGCAUCAUUAAAGAUUCAUCGGUGUACGAUGGGGAUGCGUUCCAUUAGGUAGUAGGCGGGGUAACGGCCCACCUAGCCUACGAUGGAUAGGGGUUCUGAGAGGAAGGUCCCCCACAUUGGAACUGAGACACGGUCCAAACUCCUACGGGAGGCAGCAGUGAGGAAUAUUGGUCAAUGGACGAGAGUCUGAACCAGCCAAGUAGCGUGAAGGAUGAAGGUCCUACGGAUUGUAAACUUCUUUUAUAAGGGAAUAAAACCUCCCACGUGUGGGAGCUUG
Molecule: ribosomal RNA, 428 nt
Filed under: uncultured bacterium
Lineage: Bacteria
Description: bacterial SSU rRNA
Rfam family: Bacterial small subunit ribosomal RNA
Source: RNAcentral